Molecule: RNA transcript, 2915 nt
Organism: Dendroctonus ponderosae (mountain pine beetle)
Lineage: Eukaryota; Metazoa; Arthropoda; Insecta; Coleoptera; Curculionidae
Gene name: carbohydrate sulfotransferase 1-like
Exons: 5
Source: RefSeq, a predicted model, not a curated record
CCCGGUAGCUACUACCUAAUUAAAAUGGUGCGGAGAAAAGAAUUAUUUCGAACUACCUUAGUUGCCCUAGUUUGCUUACUUCUAAUAGCUUUGUAUCAGAAGAAUCCGAGUCCGCUGAUUCGUUCGCGUCCCGCAACCUUUCAAGCAAUACAAAUUGAGGACGAUCAACCGCUUGAAGAGCACUCACUUAAAGAAGUUAUUAUCAAUGCACAAAGAAGUCGACUGAGAAAAGAACUAUACGACUUUAAAUUUCCAUCCAACCGACCACUAGCUAAUUUUGCAAUGGAAGAUGGAGGGCAACCGAUCAGAACGAUCAUUUUCAGUACAUGGAGGUCAGGGUCUACAUUUCUGGGUGAUGUUCUUAAUGCUCUGCCAGGGAAUUACUACCAUUAUGAACCACUGAUGGAUUAUGGAAUCAUACAAAUUCGAGGCCCACCAGACGCGGAUUCAGCUCUAACUAGAUUGAAAAGUUUGCUCAAUUGUGAUUACACAAAUUUGUACAAUUAGAGGUUGGUCUUGGAGUUGGUUUUGGUAGUUAGGGGGGUACUACCCACAAGAAGUACCUGGCAUCCCGUCACGGGGCAAACCCCCACGUUUUCCAGUAAAUUUUGUGCGUUGUGUUGGACGGACAGGGUCGCGAGUCCCAUUGCGGCAGGGAGACUCCGGAAAUGCCCUCCGCUCGCAACUCGAGCGAUUGUCACAAUCGACAGCAAGGACCACCCGUCAUCGAAUUCAACUUACUACCGAUAAUUUAAUUUUUCGUUUCAGAAACGUAUAUUAAAAUCCCGCAAAGUUUUAGUUACCUGCACUAUAUGUUUCAGAAAUGUUUAUGUAACUGCAAAUGUUCGCCCUCAGAAACGUUUCACUGAAACGUCUCGCUGAAACAUUGCAGAAACGUUUCGUUAAAAUGUUACUGAAGCGUUCCGCCAGACGUUAUUUAAACGUUGAAAAUAAAUAUUCAGUAACAUUAUACAUGGUAAUCUUUGAAGAUUGCAAAUAUUUUAAUUGGUGGUACAUUUUGGCCCUAGAAGCAGAACUUUUCAGUCCACUUUAUUCAUAACUUAAUUGUUACAAGGUACUAUAUUCCACAUAAAGUCUAGUCCAGUCUUAAAGUAUAAAUAAAAUACUAGCUAUUUACACGCCUUAAAAUUAAUUAAUAAUGUUUAAACAGUCGAGAGUGCGCAUAGCAACUGGUUCAACAGUUCUGUACGAUCUCACAGAAAGGACCUACGCCUCUCGGCAGCCCACCCAGCCGAAGUCUUAGGGUCGUUUUUGCACCACUCCCAGCCAAACCACCAUUCCCCGUAAUCGGGGAUUGGAGAUCGAUGAGAUUCUGACAGCUGUAGAACCUGUAUAACCUUAACACAUAUCUUAACCUAUAUGCCCAUAUCACCUACUUCCUAACAUUAGAACGUGCCUCGCGGUGCUGUCGAAAAGCGGCCUAGGCAGCCACAGGGGAGAGGCAGGGCUACGACCGAACCGCCUCUCCAUCCGGCGCCAGGCACUCAACCACACACAGAAUCGCAGAUUUUCCCCGUCCAUCUAGUCAAAGUCAUCGUCGCUGACGAUGAUUUCAGCAUACUCUACAAACAUACUAACCAUACUCCCAUCUCUCCUCCCAUCCAUGCCUCUCAAGUGCCAGCAGGAAUUCCCCGGAGCUAAACUCUCACGUGCAGCCUCCCUGACUGAUUUCACACACACCGCCCUGGCGUGUCGAGCCGUCUGAGCACCCAGACCACAUUCACACUCACCACAGCCCCUUAUUGUAAACCUGUGAAGAGCAACUUGGGUUCAAGCACCACGCCAGGAUACUUCACCAUCGUGGAUGGUACUACCCUAAGCUCCUCAGUGUUAAGCACAGGAGGCCGGAUGUUGCCUUUAGCAGGCAGGAACAGCGUCUCGAUCUGUCCAGCGCUAUACUCCACGGCCGCACCGCCAGCCCAUAUUUUCAGUUCCUCCCAGACCAACCGAAACAUCAUUUCAAUCUUCCUUGCUGACUCGGCCUUAAGCAGCACCACCUAAUCAUCCGCAUAAGCCUGGGUCGUCAGCAUCCUCACCCCUGCAUUUAUACCUGUCACGUCUCUUCCAUCCCUCUCCACACACAUUCUCUCUAUCCUAUCGACCGCGACUGGAACCAUCCCUCCAUGACCAUGAGCCGUAGAGUGGGGCCUAGACUCGAUCCCUGCGGACAGCCUUUCCCAAUCUUACACCUCACCCUUCCACUCUGUACCACUCUACCCCGCAAAAAGCUCCAGCACAUUCUCACCAAACCACUGUCAACCCCGGCCCUUUCAAGCUCCUGGACCACAACCGGGGCCCACGCCAUGUUGAAGGUUGAUUAUAUCCAGCAACAUCAACAACUGGUGUUUGCCCGCUUUUCUACUAAGCUUAUGGACCUAACCCCGCCGGAGCCCUUCGGUAGCCAUACAAUCCUGGCGCACUUCCAGACAAGUGGAAAGUAUGGCAUUCUCAGACACUCCCCAUACAUGUUUUUCACACUCUUCUCUCCCACCCGACAACCUUCCAAAAACUCACCGACAUACCAUCCGCCCCUGCAGCCUUGUUAUUCAUCAUCCGCCCCACCGCAUCACUACCCUCCUCGUCUCCCAAUUUAUCACACCAAUCCAUCCUCCGCUCCCAAUAUUUCAUCCAAACCUUCCAGCUCAUUCCUUUCACUCACACUCAGCUCUGUAUGGUACUUCCACACCAAGAAGGACCAGACAGACACCAGCUGCCCAUUAUCAUCGACUAUAAGAGUUUGCUUUGCGGGUCCCUUCUCUUUCAUGACCCUCCACACUUUGUCUCACGGGCUAACCUCGCACACACUCUCAAUCUCUCUUUUAACCCACUUCAUUUUUCCUUGAUCAGUUUCUUGAAGAUGCGCCUCUCCGCCCUGUACGCAUUGAGUCGCUCGA